Molecule: ribosomal RNA, 465 nt
Filed under: uncultured bacterium
Lineage: Bacteria
Description: partial 16S ribosomal RNA
Rfam family: Bacterial small subunit ribosomal RNA
Source: RNAcentral
GACGAACGCUGGCGGCGUGCUUAACACAUGCAAGUCGAACGGAAAGGCCCUGCUUGCAGGGUCCUCGAGUGGCGAACGGGUGAGUAACGCGUGGGUGAUCUGCCCUGCACUUCGGGAUAAGCCUGGGAAACUGGGUCUAAUACCGGAUAGGAGCCAUUUUUAGUGUGAUGGUUGGAAAGUUUUUUCGGUGUAGGAUGAGCUCGCGGCCUAUCAGCUUGUUGGUGGGGUAAUGGCCUACCAAGGCGGCGACGGGUAGCCGGCCUGAGAGGGUGGACGGCCACAUUGGGACUGAGAUACGGCCCAGACUCCUACGGGAGGCAGCAGUGGGGAAUAUUGCACAAGGGGCGCAAGCCUGAUGCAGCGACGCCGCGUGGGGGAUGACGGCCUUCGGGUUGGAAACUCCUUUCGCUAGGGACGAAGCUUUUUGUGACGGUACCUAGAUAAGAAGCACCGGCUAACUACGUG